Molecule: ribosomal RNA, 441 nt
Filed under: uncultured Collinsella sp.
Lineage: Bacteria; Bacillati; Actinomycetota; Coriobacteriia; Coriobacteriales; Coriobacteriaceae
Description: partial 16S ribosomal RNA
Rfam family: Bacterial small subunit ribosomal RNA
Source: RNAcentral
CCUACGGGGGGCAGCAGUGGGGAAUCUUGCGCAAUGGGGGGAACCCUGACGCAGCGACGCCGCGUGCGGGACGGAGGCCUUCGGGUCGUAAACCGCUUUCAGCAGGGAAGAGUCAAGACUGUACCUGCAGAAGAAGCCCCGGCUAACUACGUGCCAGCAGCCGCGGUAAUACGUAGGGGGCGAGCGUUAUCCGGAUUCAUUGGGCGUAAAGCGCGCGUAGGCGGCCCGGCAGGCCGGGGGUCGAAGCGGGGGGCUCAACCCCCCGAAGCCCCCGGAACCUCCGCGGCUUGGGUCCGGUAGGGGAGGGUGGAACACCCGGUGUAGCGGUGGAAUGCGCAGAUAUCGGGUGGAACACCGGUGGCGAAGGCGGCCCUCUGGGCCGAGACCGACGCUGAGGCGCGAAAGCUGGGGGAGCGAACAGGAUUAGAUACCCCGGUAGUC